GGGGUUGUGGCUCAGUGGUAGAGUGCUCGCCUAGUAUGGGAGAGGCCCUGGGUUUGAUCCCCAACACCA
RNAcentral lists this transfer RNA (69 nucleotides) under Ictidomys tridecemlineatus (thirteen-lined ground squirrel). RNAcentral's name for it is "Spermophilus tridecemlineatus (thirteen-lined ground squirrel) tRNA". It matches the Rfam family "tRNA". From Rfam's summary of the family: Transfer RNA (tRNA) molecules are approximately 80 nucleotides in length. Their secondary structure includes four short double-helical elements and three loops (D, anti-codon, and T loops). Lineage: Eukaryota; Metazoa; Chordata; Mammalia; Rodentia; Sciuridae. The record is from Rfam by way of RNAcentral.